Molecule: ribosomal RNA, 548 nt
Filed under: uncultured bacterium
Lineage: Bacteria
Description: bacterial SSU rRNA
Rfam family: Bacterial small subunit ribosomal RNA
Source: RNAcentral
CUCCUGGAAACGGGUGGUAAUGCCGGAUGCUCCAGAUGACCGCAUGGGAUUCUGGGAAAGCUUUUGCGGCAUGGGAUGGGGUCGCGUCCUAUCAGCUUGAUGGCGGGGUAACGGCCCACCAUGGCUUCGACGGGUAGCCGGCCUGAGAGGGCGACCGGCCACAUUGGGACUGAGAUACGGCCCAGACUCCUACGGGAGGCAGCAGUGGGGAAUAUUGCACAAUGGGCGAAAGCCUGACGCAGCGACGCCGCGUGCGGGAUGGAGGCCUUCGGGUUGUAAACCGCUUUUAUCGGGGAGCAAGCGAGAGUGAGUGUACCCGUUGAAUAAGCACCGGCUAACUACGUGCCAGCAGCCGCGGUAAUACGUAGGGUGCAAGCGUUAUCCGGAUUUAUUGGGCGUAAAGGGCUCGUAGGCGGUUCGUCGCGUCUGGUGUGAAAGUCCAUCGCUUAACGGUGGAUCUGCGCCGGGUACGGGCGGGCUGGAGUGCGGCAGGGGAGACUGGAAUUCCCGGUGUAACGGUGGAAUGUGUAGAUAUCGGGAAGAACACC